UUUUUCUCAGGUCCGAGGCAGAGCUCGCAAACUCCCUCUCCCAGCGCUUCCCUCGCGGUUUCGCCCGUUCGGUAGAAAUUUUCCAACAAGCUCUUAGCCCUAGGCUGAAAACCGAAAAAGAAGUUUUGUGCAGAGAAGAAAGGAGUCGGGGCAAGGCAGGCGGAGCCCGCUCCCAGCCCAACACAUCACCGAUCCCCACGCCCCGCCCGUGCCCCCUACCCCGUGCGCGCCUCCUGCCCCGAGCUCCUCGCCCUGGGGACAGCUGGCAGCCCGCGCAGGACCAGACACAAAGCCGAUCAAUCCCGGCGGCGCGGGGGCGGGAGCGACCCGCCAGGGCUUUCCUUUCCGCUGCUAGCUUUCUGCGGCCCACCCCCAGCUAGGACCCAGCGGACACCUUGUCCCUCUUCCACGCCCCCAGCCCCCUCCCCUCUUAAAAAAAGAACGGCCCUGAGCCCCCAUCCCAGGACUGGAAGACUGAAGACUGGCCUCUUGGCAGCCCGCAGAGAAGGCGCCCCUGGAAGAGAAACUGACAUCCCUUCAAGACCGCCCCUCCCCUCCGCUUCCUCGGCUCCACGACUCCCUCCGCCUCUACCGCCCCAGAAGUUCAGGGGCCCCCGCCCCGCCUCCUGCGCUCCGGCCGCGGGGACCCUGGAUCUCGGCGCCCAGCAGCCAGCUCCGGCCCCGGGAAGAUGGCGAGGAGGAGCAGCCACCGCCUCCUCCUGCUGUUGCUGCGCUACCUGGUGGUCGCCCUGGGCUAUCAUAAGGCCUAUGGAUUAUCUGCCCCAAAAGACCAUCAAGUUGUCACAGCCAUAGAGUACCAAGAGGUUAUUUUAGCCUGCAAAAACCCAAAGAAGACCAUUUCCUCCAGAUUAGAGUGGAAGAAACUGGGGCGGAGUGUCUCCUUCGUCUACUAUCAACAGGCUCUCCAAGGUGAUUUUAAAGAUCGAGCUGAGAUGAUAGAUUUCAGUAUACGGAUCAAAAAUGUUACAAGAAGUGAUGCUGGGAAAUAUCGUUGUGAAGUUAGUGCCCCGUCUGAGCAAGGCCAAAACCUGGAAGAGGAUACAGUUACUCUAGAAGUACUAGUGGCUCCAGCAGUUCCAUCCUGUGAAGUACCCUCUUCUGCUCUGAGUGGAACUGUGGUAGAGCUACGAUGUCAAGAUAAGGAAGGGAUUCCCGCUCCUGAAUAUACAUGGUUUAAGGAUGGUAACCGUUUACUGGAGAAUCCAAAACUUGGCUCCCAAAGCACCAACAGCUCAUAUACAAUGAAUACAAAAUCUGGAACUCUGCAAUUUAACACUAUUUCCAAGCUCGACAGUGGAGAAUACUUCUGUGAAGCCCAAAAUUCUGUUGGACAUAGCAGGUGUCCUGGGAAACGCAUGCAAGUAGAUGAUCUCAACAUAAGUGGCAUCAUAGCAGCUGUAGUAGUUGUGACCUUAGUGAUUUCUGUGUGUGGCCUUGGUGUGUGCUAUGCUCAGAGAAAAGGAUACUUUUCAACUGCCAUGGUUUCAGAUACACUGUCAUCUACAUCUUUUGAAGACUUAGCUACCAUUGAUUUCCUGUUCCCAGAUGCCUGGCCCCAUCCCUCAUAAUAUCCCAGUACAAAUCCAGGGUGAAAUCCAAGUUAUCAUGACUAGGAGUAGCAAAGGAGGAAGGGUAGUUCUUCAUCUAAAGCCCCUACAAUGAGUGAAAAUGAUUUCAAGCACACAAAAUCCUUCAUAAUUUAAAAGAAUUCAACUUUUGAGAUACACCAAAACCACAGUUGUUACACAGUUAUUAAAGUAUUAUAAAACUCUGCUUUGUCUUAAUUUGCAAAGGGGUACAUGACAAAAUGAAAUUGAUAUUUCAUUAUGUUUUUUUAUGACUUGACUCACCUGAAAUUGUUAUUUUAAGCAAACGGUUUUGUCACCUGAAAUAUGAUCUGGCUUCUUCUGUCUGGACUAAAGAACAGGAGUCAAAUUACCUUGAAAUAUUCUGUGAUUUGUAAAAUGUUAACUAAUGUCCUAACUUCUAGAGAAAGUUACUACAUCAUAAUGAUUGUGAAGUUAAUCCACAGACCAUGCAAAUAUAAACCUGUGUGCAAAAGUGUUAUUUAGGGGGUUCAGAAAAUACUCUGACAGAUGCAAAAGGAAUCUCUGGUCUCAUUUCCACCAGAAUCUUCUUUAUAACAUAAUCCUUAUUCAAUUGCUCAUUUAUCACUAAUGUAUCCACGAAACGGAGGCAGUGAGGUUGGGUCUUAUACUCAAGGAUUUGCACUUUGUAUUUACUAUCAUUUCUGAGAACCAAAAGUAACAUAAAGAGAAACAGUUAAUGACCAGAGCUCACAGGUGUGCACGGACUCACCUGGUGUAUGUUACUUAUAAUCUUGAGAGGUAAAUACAAAUCCAAGAGGCUUAUUUCACCCCCGCUGCUGCUCGCUGUUCUUUCUUUUCUCUAAGACUCCUUUGAAGAGACUCCAUGACUUUGACAUCAGGGCUCAACAAUGGAGCUUUCACAGCUUUGCAGAUACCUUUUGCUGCAUGAGUAGUAGCUUCAAAUCUCUAUCCCUAAAAAUCAUGCAGUGAAAUUCUGAGCAGGGCGAAUCCUUUGCUGUUAAAGCCAGAGGGCUGUCAAUCCUUAUGGCAAAGCAGUGGCAAGGAAAGACGUGGUUGUCUGGUAAAUAAAAUACGAGUAAACUAACUUACUGCCACUCCCUGCCUCUGGCACCCUGCUUGAGCCAUAGAAGGCACUUGAGAAAUGAUGAUUGAAAUAAAAAAUGGGUCUAACCAUCUGUUUUCUGAAUUGAUUAACCACAAAAACCUCCAGCUAGUAUUAGAAUAUGAAAACUCCAACAGUUCACUCAAUAGGAAGAGUAUUAAACUGUGUUUAAAAAGUGUAGCUUUUAGAACUGCUUUUGAUUAUUUAAUUGGUAUUAAAAACAAAAUAUGGCUAGAGUAUGUCCUGUUAUCCCAGGAAAAUCUAGAUGAAAAGUUGAUUCAUGACCUUUGACAGCUUUGGCCACCAUUAAGUCGUUUUCAGAGGAAUCCACUCUUUCCACCCAGUAGCAAAGCAGAGUCCCAGUUUUCACUGAACAAAUGAUUAAGCACUCACUGAAUGUCUGAUGUGGACCUGGACACCAGGUCACUGGGAAGAUGCCUUUAUCAGCCUGCUUCCUUUGACUUGUCUGUGGCAUUUGACGCUUUUCACUAGAGUCCUUUCUGGUUUCUAUAACAUGUUCUGCCCCAAAGGUCAACUUAGCACUGUUAGUCACUAGUAAACUUUCUAUAAAGGGCAAGAUAGUAGAUAUUUUAAACCAUAUGGUUCCUGCUACAACUACUAGACUCUGCCACUGUCACCCAAAAGCAGCCAAAAAAAGGAGCAUGUCUGUAUCCCAGUAGAAAUGCAGCAAGCACAGACAGGAUUUGGCCUACAAGCAUAGUUUCCCAACUCCUGGUGGCAAAUGAUAGAAAACACCUAUCUAUAAACUGAUUCUUACAAAUCUGGCUAAAUGCUGCCCAUGCUUUAACAAGAAGUUUUGCUUUGAUUUGAGGAACGCUUUCCUUUUGCACUGCUGGGAGUCAAGGGGAUAGAUGACUCAAAGAUGCCGCAUCAGGCACACAUACCAUCACAUAAGAUCAGCUGCUUUAAUUUAAACAACACCAAUCCAUAUUUUGAGAGGAAACUUGAGUGCCUUAACUUUGCUAAUAGAGGAAAAGCUUCUUUUUAAGAUAUCAAAGGCCAGACAAUUCACUUUAUGCAGUGUAAACAUCUGUCUUUGUGCCAAAUAUAUCUUGUACAGUAUAUUAUUGUAUAUAUAGCCAAGUCAAAAUCAUCAUGUAAAGAAUGGUUUCUUCUACACAUAGGAUAUAGUGUGAGAACUAAUUUUCUAAUUAUUAAAAGACGUCUGUGGGUCACUGGUGUCUGGGCUGUUUUCGUGUGUGUGUGUGUGUGUGUGUGUGUGUGUGUGUGUGUGUUACUGUGACUUGUUAUUGUUUUAUGAACUUGAACAUGAACCACUGGUAAAACUCCACUGUAAUUCUUAGAACAUUUUAUUUUCCUGCAGUGAGAUUGUGUUGCAUAAAGAUUAGGGUUCUAGAAUCAUUAAUAACAAUUUGUGUUUUGUUUUAAAACUGUUGCUGUUGUAAGUAGAUUCACUUUAUUUUUAGUUGGGGGUUGAACCUAACUAAAUCUAGAAAGAUGGGCUGUUUUCCAUACAGCUUUGCAAAGAACUUCCUUCACAGCCCACAGCUGGCUUUGUUUGAUUAAAAUCUUU
Molecule: RNA transcript, 4249 nt
Organism: Sciurus carolinensis (gray squirrel)
Lineage: Eukaryota; Metazoa; Chordata; Mammalia; Rodentia; Sciuridae
Gene: Jam2
Gene name: junctional adhesion molecule 2
Exons: 10
Source: RefSeq, a predicted model, not a curated record